AUUGAACGCUGGCGGCAUGCCUUACACAUGCAAGUCGAACGGCAGCACGGGAGCAAUCCUGGUGGCGAGUGGCGAACGGGUGAGUAAUGUAUCGGAACGUGCCCAGUCGUGGGGGAUAACGCAGCGAAAGCUGUGCUAAUACCGCAUACGAUCUAUGGAUGAAAGCGGGGGAUCGCAAGACCUCGCGCGAUUGGAGCGGCCGAUAUCAGAUUAGCUAGUUGGUGGGGUAAAGGCCCACCAAGGCGACGAUCUGUAGCUGGUCUGAGAGGACGACCAGCCACACUGGAACUGAGACACGGUCCAGACUCCUACGGGAGGCAGCAGUGGGGAAUUUUGGACAAUGGGCGCAAGCCUGAUCCAGCAAUGCCGCGUGCAGGAUGAAGGCCUUCGGGUUGUAAACUGCUUUUGUACGGAACGAAACGGUCCUUUCUAAUACAGGGGGCUAAUGACGGUACCGUAAGAAUAAGCACCGGCUAACUACGUGCCAGCCGCCGCCGUAA
This 500-nucleotide ribosomal RNA is filed under the name uncultured bacterium. RNAcentral describes it as "partial 16S ribosomal RNA". It matches the Rfam family "Bacterial small subunit ribosomal RNA", at positions 30 to 523 of the family's 1533-position model. The record is from RNAcentral.